Molecule: long non-coding RNA, 1005 nt
Filed under: Piliocolobus tephrosceles (Ugandan red Colobus)
Lineage: Eukaryota; Metazoa; Chordata; Mammalia; Primates; Cercopithecidae
Description: lncRNA (ENSPTEG00000012928.1)
Source: RNAcentral
GAUGGUGGGAAAGCCGGGAGGGAACGGAUGAGGGUCUCUUCCACACAGGGCUGGGUGGUACCUGGCGGUCGCCUGAAGUGGGCCAGGGGCUGGCCAUGAGCCCCUCCAUAACUGAUGGCUGCCAGGAGCAGCCCAGAGGAGCUGAAGAGAACGUGAUGGGAAGAAAGGAGCCAGGUUCAAUGACACCUGCGAAGGGGUGACGCUGGUGGAACCCACAGGACACCCAACCACCUGUCACCCCAGGCUCUGAGCCACCACCCUCCUCUGCCUUUCUUGAGGGAUGCUGGUGCUUGUGACUUGUCCAGCAGGGAGGUGGGGGUCUGACUGCCCCUCUCUGACCCUGACUCUUAGAUGCCAGGUCCAGGGAGCUAUGCUUCACAGAUGCUGCAUUCUCUGCGUCCGGAGGAGGAGAUGAUGGGACGGGGAAUCUUCUCGCUGUCGCCUACCCCGUAAAGUGUAACCAGUCUCUUCCUUGCACCUGAUCAAGACAUGUAACAUCCAACUUGUGCAAGGCAUAAAUGUCCUCAGAGGAAACCAUAAGUUACCCAAAAGAAUAUAAAACGUCAGAACCAGAAGGUAUUAUGGAUUACAAGGUCACCGUGAUUCACAGACGGGCCAGCCUUGAGGCCCCUCGUGGUGCUCCUGUCUGCCUGGUGCCUGUGACUGUGGCAGGAGGUGCCACUUACGGCUUAGAAGUGCAGCCCCGGCCCGCGGUCACCCCACAGACCGGAACUGUCUCCCUGGCGCGGGAACAGUGUACUUAGAAGCCAUCUCCAUCCGCCCUUGGCUCUGGCAGGGAAUGACAUAGGAAUUAAUCAGCUGCGGUGAAUCAGAUUAGUUGAAGAACUAGGAUUCUGGCACCCUACCUUCAAGACAGCAAAGUAUAUUGAUGACAGUGGAACCUGAAAAGGCUUCAAGGUUUUUACAAUUACAUUCUAUUAUGUGUGUUAGUGAUUUUGCUCAAUAUCUGUCAUUGUUGUUUUCAAAAUCAAAUACACAUCAUUU